Molecule: ribosomal RNA, 254 nt
Filed under: uncultured bacterium
Lineage: Bacteria
Description: partial 16S ribosomal RNA
Rfam family: Bacterial small subunit ribosomal RNA
Source: RNAcentral
UACGUAGGGGCCAAGCGUUGUCCGGAUUUAUUGGGCGUAAAGAGCUCGUAGGCGGUUGGGUAAGUCGGGUGUGAAAACUCCAGGCUCAACUUGGAGAGGCCACCCGAUACUGCUCUGACUUGAGUUCGGUAGGGGAGUUGGGAAUUCCUGGUGUAGCGGUGAAAUGCGCAGAUAUCAGGAGGAACACCGGUGGCGAAGGCGCCACUCUGGGCCGAAACUGACGCUGAGGAGCGAAAGCGUGGGUAGCAAACAGG